AAAGUCUGAUGGAGCAACGCCGCGUGAGUGAUGAAGGUUUUCGGAUCGUAAAACUCUGUUGUAAGGGAAGAACCAGUACGUCAGGCAAUGGACGUACCUUGACGGUACCUUAUUAGAAAGCCACGGCUAACUACGUGCCAGCAGCCGCGGUAAUACGUAGGUGGCAAGCGUUGUCCGGAAUUACUGGGCGUAAAGGGCGCGUAGGCGGAUCGUUAAGUCAGAGGUGAAAUCCCAGGGCUCAACCCUGGAACUGCCUUUGAUACUGGCGAUCUUGAGUAUGAGAGAGGUAUGUGGAACUCCGAGUGUAGAGGUGAAAUUCGUAGAUAUUCGGAAGAACACCAGUGGCGAAGGCGACAUACUGGCUCAUUACUGACGCUGAGGCGCGAAAGCGUGGGGAGCAAACA
Molecule: ribosomal RNA, 404 nt
Filed under: uncultured bacterium
Lineage: Bacteria
Description: bacterial SSU rRNA
Rfam family: Bacterial small subunit ribosomal RNA
Source: RNAcentral